This 73-nucleotide transfer RNA is filed under the name Serendipita indica DSM 11827. RNAcentral's name for it is "transfer RNA-Pseudo(TGG)". The record is from RNAcentral. Lineage: Eukaryota; Fungi; Basidiomycota; Agaricomycetes; Sebacinales; Serendipitaceae.
CGGAAUAAAGACUAAUCGGGUGAGUCGCCUUGUUUGGGUCAAGGAGAUUUGCGUUCAAAUCGCAAUAUUCCGA